UUAGAAUUUAGGAUUUGGAUUAGGAUUUGAUUUAGGGUUUAGGGUUUGGUUUAGGAUUUAGGAUUUAGGAUUUAGGAUUUGGAUUAGGAUUUGAUUUAGGGUUUAGAAUUUGGUUUAGGAUUUGGAAUUUAGGAUUUAUUUAGGAUUUAGGAUUUGGUUAGGGUUUGGUUUAGGAUUUAGUUAGGGUUUUAUUUAGGAUUUAGGAUUUGAUUAGGAUUUGAUUUAGGAUUUGGUUAGGAUUUGAUUUAAGGUUUAUUUAGGAUUUGAUUUAGGAUUUAGGAUUUUAUUAGGAUCUAAGAUUCAAUUAGUUUUGGCCUAAAGUUUGAAUGAAGUUCAAUAGGAUUUUAACUAGAAUUAAAUUAAGAUUGAAUUGAGAUGUAUUUGAGUGAUAUUUGUGAUCCUUCUAAUAUUUCUUUAAGAAUUCUUAUUAUUUGUUUGAAAUUUCUUUGAGGUUUUUUUGAAUUUGAUUAAGCUUGCUUAGCAUUAUUAUGGUCUAAUUAGAGCAUUGUUAGUAUUCUAUUAGAAUUAGGAUUUUGUUAUUGCAAUUUCCAUUCUUCCUUCCACAGCCAGGUGCUCGGAGCAUUCUCAAGCAAGUCUUCACAUAUUAUGACAAUGUCUUUUUAAUAAGUCUAUAAAUAGGUAUACAAAGUUUUAUAGAAAAAUAAAUUAUGAUUUUUGAGAAAUAAAGAUUUAAAAAAGGAGAAGAGGUCCUGCUAUAAGCUUAUAG
RNAcentral lists this long non-coding RNA (727 nucleotides) under Physcomitrium patens. RNAcentral describes it as "long non-coding RNA (PPAT_LNC005940)". The record is from RNAcentral. Lineage: Eukaryota; Viridiplantae; Streptophyta; Bryopsida; Funariales; Funariaceae.